UACGAAGGUGGCAAGCGUUACUCGGAAUUACUAGGCGUAAAGGGCAGGUAGGUGGUUUGAUAAGUCUGUUGUGUAAGCUCCCGGCUUAACUGGGAGAGGUCAACGGAAACUAUCAGACUUGAGUAUAGGAGAGGUUACUGGAAUUCCCGGUGUAGCGGUGAAAUGCGCAGAUAUCGGGAGGAACACCAAUGGCGAAAGCAGGUAACUGGACUAUUACUGACACUCAGCUGCGAAAGCUAGGGGAGCAAACAGG
RNAcentral lists this ribosomal RNA (253 nucleotides) under uncultured bacterium. RNAcentral describes it as "partial 16S ribosomal RNA". It matches the Rfam family "Bacterial small subunit ribosomal RNA", at positions 524 to 776 of the family's 1533-position model. The record is from RNAcentral.